RNAcentral lists this ribosomal RNA (752 nucleotides) under Stutzerimonas stutzeri. RNAcentral's name for it is "bacterial SSU rRNA". It matches the Rfam family "Bacterial small subunit ribosomal RNA", at positions 24 to 772 of the family's 1533-position model. Lineage: Bacteria; Pseudomonadati; Pseudomonadota; Gammaproteobacteria; Pseudomonadales; Pseudomonadaceae. The record is from RNAcentral.
UCAGAUUGAACGCUGGCGGCAGGCCUAACACAUGCAAGUCGAGCGGAUGAGUGGAGCUUGCUCCAUGAUUCAGCGGCGGACGGGUGAGUAAUGCCUAGGAAUCUGCCUGGUAGUGGGGGACAACGUUUCGAAAGGAACGCUAAUACCGCAUACGUCCUACGGGAGAAAGUGGGGGAUCUUCGGACCUCACGCUAUCAGAUGAGCCUAGGUCGGAUUAGCUAGUUGGUGAGUAAAGGCUCACCAAGGCGACGAUCCGUAACUGGUCUGAGAGGAUGAUCAGUCACACUGGAACUGAGACACGGUCCAGACUCCUACGGGAGGCAGCAGUGGGGAAUAUUGGACAAUGGGCGAAAGCCUGAUCCAGCCAUGCCGCGUGUGUGAAGAAGGUCUUCGGAUUGUAAAGCACUUUAAGUUGGGAGGAAGGGCAGUAAGUUAAUACCUUGCUGUUUUGACGUUACCAACAGAAUAAGCACCGGCUAACUUCGUGCCAGCAGCCGCGGUAAUACGAAGGGUGCAAGCGUUAAUCGGAAUUACUGGGCGUAAAGCGCGCGUAGGUGGUUCGUUAAGUUGGAUGUGAAAGCCCCGGGCUCAACCUGGGAACUGCAUCCAAAACUGGCGAGCUAGAGUAUGGCAGAGGGUGGUGGAAUUUCCUGUGUAGCGGUGAAAUGCGUAGAUAUAGGAAGGAACACCAGUGGCGAAGGCGACCACCUGGGCUAAUACUGACACUGAGGUGCGAAAGCGUGGGGAGCAAA